AAUUUAUUAUUAGCAUGACAAAAUUACUGGAUUCUGAUUGGUUGAGAGGAGUACAAUUAUUUCAUUAAUUGUACUGCAGUACAAUUAAUGAUUUUCCCAAAACAAACAAAAUGGCGGAAAGGUAUUUUAAACACAAAUGUGAAAUGAAAUUGCCGUGGAGGAACUAGAUGAAAAUACGAACAAAAGCACCAAAUUUUGCUUGAACAAAAGAACUAAAUGAAAAUACAAACAAAAGCACCAAAUUUUGCU
RNAcentral lists this long non-coding RNA (249 nucleotides) under Paramuricea clavata. Lineage: Eukaryota; Metazoa; Cnidaria; Anthozoa; Malacalcyonacea; Plexauridae. The record is from RNAcentral.